Molecule: ribosomal RNA, 440 nt
Filed under: uncultured bacterium
Lineage: Bacteria
Description: partial 16S ribosomal RNA
Rfam family: Bacterial small subunit ribosomal RNA
Source: RNAcentral
CCUACGGGAGGCAGCAGUGGGGAAUAUUGCACAAUGGGGGAAACCCUGAUGCAGCGACGCCGCGUGAGUGAAGAAGUUUUUCGGUACGUAAAGCUCUAUCAGCAGGGAAGAAAAUGACGUUACCUAAUUAAGAAGCCCCGGCUAACUACGUGCCAGCAGCCGCGGUAAUACGUAGGGGGCAAGCGUUAUCCGGAUUUACGGGGUGGAAAGGUAGCGUAGACGGCAGCACAAGUCUGGAGUGAAAUGCCGGGGCUUAACCCCGGAACUGCUUUGGAAACUGUGCAGCUAGAGUGCAGGAGAGGUAAGUGGAAUUCCUGGUGUAGGGGUGAAAUGCGUAGAUAUUAGGAGGAACACCAGUGGCGAAGGCGACUUACUGGACUGUAACUGACGUUGAGGAUCGAAAGCGUGGGGAGCAAACAGGAUUAGAUACCCUUGUAGUC